RNAcentral lists this long non-coding RNA (746 nucleotides) under Felis catus (domestic cat). RNAcentral describes it as "lncRNA (ENSFCAG00000042349.2)". The record is from RNAcentral. Lineage: Eukaryota; Metazoa; Chordata; Mammalia; Carnivora; Felidae.
GUUCACUCCUUGUACCCAUACAGCUUUGCAAUUCCUCUUAAGGGUAGUGAAGUGCACUUCCCCAUUCCUUGCCUUUGAGGUCAACCAGGAGAUAACCUUCAGCCAAUGAGAUGUUAAUAGUGACUUGAAAUACGCGGAAUUGAUGAACUUACCUUCUUGUACCUCUGACAUCUCUGUGCGAAGGGCUUCUGGAGUAGCGGCUGACUUUUCCGCCUGGUGGUAGCCAAGAGACCAGCACACCAGACUCACGGCUUGAGGCAGGGUCACAGCCGCAAUCAGCCUUGACCGGACAACCCAGACAACUCGGCCAACGCAGCACAGACUACUUGUCUUCGUAUUGCUGACACUAAAUCCAACCGGCGGGCGGAGAUCUGGAAUCCUGUGCAUUCCCUACGACCAAUCUGUAUCGUUGCUUUGCUGAAAAAGAGACAUGGACGAUGGACUAUCGCUGGGGAAUUCAGAUUUCCAGUCUAAGGGAGACAUUAUCACUUUCAACCUUACCAACAAACCACAAGGACCCUCAAAAAGGAAUAAAGAGAGACUUUGUAUCUGUAAAGUUGUCACCAUUGUCAUGUUCUUUCUGAUGAUUUUGAUAACUACCCUGGCCACAAUUUUAGCAGGUGAGUUGCCCACUUCCCAAAUACGCUCAUGUUAACUCUACUAUAAGAUAUUUCACUGUAUGUGUGCUUUAAGGGUAAUUCUUGAACAUCUUUUUGCAUGGAAUGGACAUAUGUUUCUUCUAUAAA